RNAcentral lists this ribosomal RNA (405 nucleotides) under bacterium. RNAcentral's name for it is "bacterial SSU rRNA". It matches the Rfam family "Bacterial small subunit ribosomal RNA", at positions 354 to 776 of the family's 1533-position model. RNAcentral also lists the same sequence under 2 other names. The record is from RNAcentral.
GUGGGGAAUAUUGCACAAUGGGGGAAACCCUGAUGCAGCGACGCCGCGUGAAGGAAGAAGUAUCUCGGUAUGUAAACUUCUAUCAGCAGGGAAGAUAGUGACGGUACCUGACUAAGAAGCCCCGGCUAACUACGUGCCAGCAGCCGCGGUAAUACGUAGGGGGCAAGCGUUAUCCGGAUUUACUGGGUGUAAAGGGAGCGUAGACGGUGUGGCAAGUCUGAUGUGAAAGGCAUGGGCUCAACCUGUGGACUGCAUUGGAAACUGUCAUACUUGAGUGCCGGAGGGGUAAGCGGAAUUCCUAGUGUAGCGGUGAAAUGCGUAGAUAUUAGGAGGAACACCAGUGGCGAAGGCGGCUUACUGGACGGUAACUGACGUUGAGGCUCGAAAGCGUGGGGAGCAAACAGG